Elaeis guineensis (African oil palm) is the source of this 692-nucleotide non-coding RNA. NCBI's taxonomy places the organism in Eukaryota, Viridiplantae, Streptophyta, Magnoliopsida, Arecales, Arecaceae. The record is from RefSeq and is a predicted model, not a curated record.
AUCUAGAUCAUGUUUGAUUAAAAAUAUCAUAAGCUUGUAUAUCUUUUCUUCUUUGGCUUUUUGGUGUGUAAACUUCUUCCUGUUUGCAGUGGGAUGAUAGUUCAGUUGAGUCUCCAUCUGGAAUGUCACCAUCCCUGUUGAAGGAUCUUUGCUUACAUAGCCCAAAGAGAAGGAUGGUUUCUCCCUUGAAGCUAAUAGAAAACAACAAACUUACUAAACGGAGAAAAAUUAAGCGAUGGAGUUUACUGGAAGAAGAAACUUUGAUAAAAGCUGUGGAAAGGCAUGGGAAAGGUAAUUGGAAAAUGAUUCUAAGCUGCCAUCCUGAUAUUUUUGAAGAGAGAACAGAGGUUGAUUUGAAGGAUAAGUGGAGAAAUAUGACCAAGCACUAGCUUGCUUUUCUGCACCACGUUGUUAGAGAAGAAUCAAAUGAGGAUCAUCCAUGGAUGGUUGUGCUCCGAAGGAUCAAGAGAAAAUGGAAUGGUGAAGUUGGAGAAUGAGAGUGCGGCUACAAGAAUUUAGUCAAAAAAGGCAAUCCAUUUAAAUGAUAGAUGCUUGCUUGUCUUCUUCCAUAUUAAAGUUGAUUCUUUUAUUUGUAUUAAAUAAACUUUUUUUUUUUAUUUUUGAAAUAGAGAGGGAGAUAGAUCCAUAUGUAUUAUAAUUACUCAGGUCUAAAUGUUUCAGGAUGUGCUGUC